Vespa crabro (European hornet) is the source of this 303-nucleotide long non-coding RNA. RefSeq lists it as uncharacterized. NCBI's taxonomy places the organism in Eukaryota, Metazoa, Arthropoda, Insecta, Hymenoptera, Vespidae. The transcript has 3 exons. The record is from RefSeq and is a predicted model, not a curated record.
CGGAGUCGACUUUCACUUUAACUUGAGAGGCGACAUUGCGCUUUCGCGCGUCUAGUGCUUCCACCUUGUUCGCCUUGGAUCUUGCUUCUCCUUUGUCUUUUAUAUCCUCUUCUCGAACUAGAAUAAACAACUUACCAACAUGUUUCUCUAGGAAGAAAACUGAAGGAGAAGAAGAAGAAGACGAUACUAGGGAAAAAAUUAUAGAUCAUAAUCAUCAAAGAACGAACAAUAGAAGAAGCAGUUCAGAUUCUAAACCAGUAAGUUGCCAUCUUGGCAAGCUAAUACCUUGCUGGACCAAUUGCA